UAUUAAACUGAUAAGUAUUGAUUACCAUUAAACAUCAGCAACGUUACGGAUAGACGCUGUGAGCUUUGGAUUAAUAAAAGAACCAAGUACGAUCACGGUACGAGUGACGCAACGCUUCAGCAUCCAAUAUGGCGAUUGCUGAAAAGUUUACAGCUUGUAAGCAGAGCCAAGUACCCCAUCCUACGGCAAGGACCACCCAGCGGCUAUGGGUCUCGACAUGGCAAUUCAUUGGCAGGAAGUAGCAGUGGCAGGAUGAAUGGAAUGAGAAUGAAGCAUAGAAUAUAGCAAUGGCAUUUUAAACCCAGAAUAUUCUACCAUGUUAUUUCUACGUAUGAUCUCCGUCUUCCGGUGCUUGCCUUCGGGUGUGGCUGGUUCACUGAAGUCUUCGCUGACCACUUGAUUCAAGAUGUGAGACUCGAUCAGGCAAAAGAGAAACAGUGGGUAAUGACUGAAGUCCUCAUUGACCGUCAUCCAAGAUGUAAGAGUCGAUCACAUCGAUCACAUCGUGAACGGUAAACAUCUUAACUAAGCACUUGAGGAGCAUCAAGACCCCUAUACGUAUGGGAACGAGUCACUGUUUGAGUUAUUAAGUGAAAGAGGGUACCCUGGUGGUAUUCUCGACAGGAUCCUUAGAUCAGAGGAACAGAGGAACUUGCACGAAUGGCAAGAAGUAAGGAACUGUGAACUGCGAAUCGUUGAACAUUGACGGAUGAAAAUAAGAUAGAUCGAACCAUCUCGAGGAUACCUGAAGGAUCUUUUAAAUUAAUAGAUGGCCUUGUCCCUUGAUGACGACAACAAUGGCAUACGACAAGUGGAUUAUUUAUAGACAAAUUGUAUUAGACGAACCACUGAUAAUUGAUAUGAAUAUAAUUGCUCAAGGGUGUUCAAUCUCUGUGGGAAUUGUUCAAAAGAAUAAUUAUUAAGGUUUCGAGCCAGAACGUGGAUCCUGAAUAUCAAAGAGGGUUGGUUUAUUAGUCAAGUCAGUGUAACAAAUUCAAUGAGUUUGCGAGUCGGUAAAUUUCGAGUUUGAAAUUAAAGUAAAGUCAAAUUCAAAGUG
Long non-coding RNA from Cephus cinctus (wheat stem sawfly), 1057 nucleotides. RefSeq lists it as uncharacterized. The transcript is spliced from 2 exons. The record is from RefSeq and is a predicted model, not a curated record. NCBI's taxonomy places the organism in Eukaryota, Metazoa, Arthropoda, Insecta, Hymenoptera, Cephidae.